GACGAACCGUACAAACGUUAUUCGGAAUCACUGGGCUUAAAGGGUGCGUAGGCGGCGCGGAAAGUAGGGUGUGAAAUCCCUCGGCUCAACCGAGGAAUUGCGCCCUAAACUACCGUGCUCGAGGGAGAUAGAGGUGAGCGGAACUUAGGGUGGAGCGGUGAAAUGCGUUGAUAUCCUAAGGAACACCGGUGGCGAAAGCGGCUCACUGGAUCUCUUCCGACGCUGAGGCACGAAAGCGUGGGUAGCAAACAGG
RNAcentral lists this ribosomal RNA (253 nucleotides) under uncultured bacterium. RNAcentral's name for it is "partial 16S ribosomal RNA". It matches the Rfam family "Bacterial small subunit ribosomal RNA", at positions 524 to 776 of the family's 1533-position model. The record is from RNAcentral.